This 429-nucleotide ribosomal RNA is filed under the name uncultured bacterium. RNAcentral's name for it is "bacterial SSU rRNA". It matches the Rfam family "Bacterial small subunit ribosomal RNA", at positions 355 to 776 of the family's 1533-position model. The record is from RNAcentral.
UGGGGAAUUUUGGACAAUGGGGGCAACCCUGAUCCAGCCAUGCCGCGUGAGUGAAGAAGGCCUUCGGGUUGUAAAGCUCUUUCGGACGGAAAGAAAUCGCGCAGGUAAAUAAUCUGCGUGGAUGACGGUACCGUAAGAAGAAGCACCGGCUAACUACGUGCCAGCAGCCGCGGUAAUACGUAGGGUGCGAGCGUUAAUCGGAAUUACUGGGCGUAAAGCGUGCGCAGGCGGCUUUGUAAGACAGGUGUGAAAUCCCCGGGCUUAACCUGGGAAUGGCGCUUGUGACUGCAAGGCUCGAGUGCGGCAGAGGGGGGUGGAAUUCCACGUGUAGCAGUGAAAUGCGUAGAGAUGUGGAGGAACACCGAUGGCGAAGGCAGCCCCCUGGGUCGACACUGACGCUCAUGCACGAAAGCGUGGGGAGCAAACAGG